This 1850-nucleotide ribosomal RNA is filed under the name Staphylococcus aureus. RNAcentral describes it as "partial 23S ribosomal RNA". It matches the Rfam family "Bacterial large subunit ribosomal RNA", at positions 342 to 2196 of the family's 2925-position model. Lineage: Bacteria; Bacillati; Bacillota; Bacilli; Caryophanales; Staphylococcaceae. The record is from RNAcentral.
CUGGAAAGAUGAAUCAAAGAAGGUAAUAAUCCUGUAGUCGAAAAUGUUGUCUCUCUUGAGUGGAUCCUGAGUACGACGGAGCACGUGAAAUUCCGUCGGAAUCUGGGAGGACCAUCUCCUAAGGCUAAAUACUCUCUAGUGACCGAUAGUGAACCAGUACCGUGAGGGAAAGGUGAAAAGCACCCCGGAAGGGGAGUGAAAUAGAACCUGAAACCGUGUGCUUACAAGUAGUCAGAGCCCGUUAAUGGGUGAUGGCGUGCCUUUUGUAGAAUGAACCGGCGAGUUACGAUUUGAUGCAAGGUUAAGCAGUAAAUGUGGAGCCGUAGCGAAAGCGAGUCUGAAUAGGGCGUUUAGUAUUUGGUCGUAGACCCGAAACCAGGUGAUCUACCCUUGGUCAGGUUGAAGUUCAGGUAACACUGAAUGGAGGACCGAACCGACUUACGUUGAAAAGUGAGCGGAUGAACUGAGGGUAGCGGAGAAAUUCCAAUCGAACCUGGAGAUAGCUGGUUCUCUCCGAAAUAGCUUUAGGGCUAGCCUCAAGUGAUGAUUAUUGGAGGUAGAGCACUGUUUGGACGAGGGGCCCCUCUCGGGUUACCGAAUUCAGACAAACUCCGAAUGCCAAUUAAUUUAACUUGGGAGUCAGAACAUGGGUGAUAAGGUCCGUGUUCGAAAGGGAAACAGCCCAGACCACCAGCUAAGGUCCCAAAAUAUAUGUUAAGUGGAAAAGGAUGUGGCGUUGCCCAGACAACUAGGAUGUUGGCUUAGAAGCAGCCAUCAUUUAAAGAGUGCGUAAUAGCUCACUAGUCGAGUGACACUGCGCCGAAAAUGUACCGGGGCUAAACAUAUUACCGAAGCUGUGGAUUGUCCUUUGGACAAUGGUAGGAGAGCGUUCUAAGGGCGUUGAAGCAUGAUCGUAAGGACAUGUGGAGCGCUUAGAAGUGAGAAUGCCGGUGUGAGUAGCGAAAGACGGGUGAGAAUCCCGUCCACCGAUUGACUAAGGUUUCCAGAGGAAGGCUCGUCCGCUCUGGGUUAGUCGGGUCCUAAGCUGAGGCCGACAGGCGUAGGCGAUGGAUAACAGGUUGAUAUUCCUGUACCACCUAUAAUCGUUUUAAUCGAUGGGGGGACGCAGUAGGAUAGGCGAAGCGUGCGAUUGGAUUGCACGUCUAAGCAGUAAGGCUGAGUAUUAGGCAAAUCCGGUACUCGUUAAGGCUGAGCUGUGAUGGGGAGAAGACAUUGUGUCUUCGAGUCGUUGAUUUCACACUGCCGAGAAAAGCCUCUAGAUAGAAAAUAGGUGCCCGUACCGCAAACCGACACAGGUAGUCAAGAUGAGAAUUCUAAGGUGAGCGAGCGAACUCUCGUUAAGGAACUCGGCAAAAUGACCCCGUAACUUCGGGAGAAGGGGUGCUCUUUAGGGUUAACGCCCAGAAGAGCCGCAGUGAAUAGGCCCAAGCGACUGUUUAUCAAAAACACAGGUCUCUGCUAAACCGUAAGGUGAUGUAUAGGGGCUGACGCCUGCCCGGUGCUGGAAGGUUAAGAGGAGUGGUUAGCUUCUGCGAAGCUACGAAUCGAAGCCCCAGUAAACGGCGGCCGUAACUAUAACGGUCCUAAGGUAGCGAAAUUCCUUGUCGGGUAAGUUCCGACCCGCACGAAAGGCGUAACGAUUUGGGCACUGUCUCAACGAGAGACUCGGUGAAAUCAUAGUACCUGUGAAGAUGCAGGUUACCCGCGACAGGACGGAAAGACCCCGUGGAGCUUUACUGUAGCCUGAUAUUGAAAUUCGGCACAGCUUGUACAGGAUAGGUAGGAGCCUUUGAAACGUGAGCGCUAGCUUACGUGGAGGCGCUGGUGGG